CGCGCCAGACCUGCCCACUGGCCUUAUCUUGAGCUGUGACAGACGCCCAGCAGUCGCCUCAUCCCUCCAGCACAUGCCCUGACCUCUCUGACUUCUCAUUCCCAGCACUGCCAACAGUAGACUGGAUCACCACCACACACAGUUUUUGUCCAUAUAAUGAAAGUCAAUGGGAUAUAGGUUCUUUUUGAAAUAUGUUCUUUUGUGUUUCACAGAAGAAAGAAAGUAAUAUAGGUUUGGAACGUCAUGAGGGUGAGUAAAUGAUGAUAGAAGUUUCAUUUUUGGGUGAACUAUCACUUUAAAUUCUGUCCGGCUCUCAUUGAAAAUGAUUUGUGUCCCAGCAGAUAACCUUUUCCAGGCCCAUCCUGCUUCUGCUUCUAACUGUCUGUGAGUCUCCUCACCUGUUAAGCUAAAUGUUGUGGUGGACGAAGGGUGAAUGGCUGCUAAUGAGCUACAAAGCACUCUUACUGGAGGCUGAUGCUGUUACUGCAGUGUGACCACACCGCAAUAGGCAGGUGUAUGAGUGAUUACAUACAUUUGGCUCUGAUCCCUCGCAGUGAGAAACCAAAAUGGUCAUUCUCUGCACAGCUCAUGUAACUCUCAUCAGGAACACGGUCAAAUAAGCCCAUUAUUAUGCUGUCCAAACCACUCCAGAGGAGCACAUGUAUCCCAGCUCAUCAAUCUCAGCACGCAGUGGAGAUCAACACAGAGUACAGCUCAGUCGGCCCAUCCUGGCCGUUCAGAGCAAACGGGGCAUGUAAUUAUCUGGAGCCAUCUCAGGAGGUCGGCUGGGAUUUGGGGAAUGUGUCCCCCUCCUCCACAUCCCUGUUCUUUUCACCUUUCAACCCCAUCGUUCUUCUCAGCAUAAGGGCAUUUCUUCAGCUGGAGGAUCACACUGUCACACCAGAGUGGACAAGACUGGCCGUUCGGUGUCCAUCUCUGUGAUUGUCAAGGCGUGGCCAUCAUGACAAGGCGUUCUUACAAAGCUGCACUCAAGUUAAAAGAAGUUCCAAAGACAUGUCUCUAGACCUUCCUUCCACUGCCCAACAUCUAGUAUUCUUCAAUGCUGAAACGUGUUGAAAGUCCUUUAAAUUGGCAUGGUACUUUGAAAUUAGUUCAGCUAUUGUAUUUAAAUCUGAACGCAGGAUUCAAAAAUGUUUUAGCAGGCAACCUAAUGUGAUUUUUUUUUUUUAAACCAAAAGGAUGCAUUAAAUCCUAUCAAAAGUGGUAGUAAACACAUUUAUAAUGUUACAAAAGAUUUCUAUUUCAACACAGAAAUGCAUUCUGUGUUAAAGGCCCCUUAAACUGGUUGAAGGGGCUGUUCACAUAGAACUUGUUUUAGUGUUAAAAACUGCAACAUGAGAGUAGCAGAAAAAAACCUGAACAUCCGAUGCUGUCCUAUUUACUCAGGAAACAAUUGAAAAGCUGCAC
Molecule: long non-coding RNA, 1428 nt
Filed under: Sinocyclocheilus anshuiensis
Lineage: Eukaryota; Metazoa; Chordata; Actinopteri; Cypriniformes; Cyprinidae
Description: lncRNA (ENSSANG00000005885.1)
Source: RNAcentral